UGUGUGACUCAGUGGUAGAGCACAUGCUUAGCAUGCAUGAGACUGUAGGUUCAAUCCCUGACACA
This 65-nucleotide transfer RNA is filed under the name Heterocephalus glaber (naked mole-rat). It matches the Rfam family "tRNA". From Rfam's summary of the family: Transfer RNA (tRNA) molecules are approximately 80 nucleotides in length. Their secondary structure includes four short double-helical elements and three loops (D, anti-codon, and T loops). The record is from Rfam by way of RNAcentral. Lineage: Eukaryota; Metazoa; Chordata; Mammalia; Rodentia; Bathyergidae.